Molecule: non-coding RNA, 2231 nt
Organism: Ictidomys tridecemlineatus (thirteen-lined ground squirrel)
Lineage: Eukaryota; Metazoa; Chordata; Mammalia; Rodentia; Sciuridae
Source: RefSeq, a predicted model, not a curated record
UACCACUAAGCCACAACUCCAGUCCUCAAAGAUUAUUCUUUCAGAAAAUUGGGAGAUGAGGGAACGAGAGAGAAGGCAGUAGCAAGAGAGGCAGUAUACACGGUGGUUCAACAAAGGAGUUUACAGCAGGGUUGCUCAAGUCUGAAAUGCUGCUGUCUCACUUGAAAGCUAUAUGAAUGUGUGGGCAAAUUAUUCAGGUUCUGUCCUCUGUGGCUGAGCAGAGAGCAGGGCAAGGCUGCAGAGGAAGUAAUAAGGGGUGAGCCUAGAGGGGAGGCGGGAGAGCUCAGAUGUAUAAAGACUAAAGUGUAACAGGAGCAAAGACCACAGGAAUUCUGCUAGAUUGUCAACUCAGAUGAUGCUUAUCUUUUUAGUGAAAUGUGAUGUUAAGACAUUUGCCCGGAAAGAAGAAAAUAGAGGGCAGAGGUAAGGGGGAAAGAAGGUAAAGAACAGAAAAUCAGUGGUUGCUGAGACUCAAAUAGUGACUCAACAAGAAAGGCAGUCCAGGAUUGCUCCAAAUCAAGAAGAUCCAGAUCUUAAUAAACCUGCUGGGACAACUCCAAUGAACUGCCUUUGCCUGGGACAGAACUGCAGGGCUGCGGUUCCUUCCUGCUUCCUGUGAGGCCAUUUUAAAAGAAUUCUUAACUACAAGUACACAAGCUUGUAGAAGACCCUUUAAGACAAGUCACUGAAAUCCCUGGGAAGGUCUAUUCUGUCCAGCUUCAUCAGCUAACUGGAGAUGUGUUUGGAGAAUGUCCACAGGAAGAGCUUAGCACCAAUCGUCAGAAUUAAGUUAAAGCUUUCCAUACGUUGUUGACCAUGUUGAAAAAAAAAAUCAAACUUGCCAACAUCUACCUUAGAAGGUUUCAAUAUUUAUUUAAACAGGAUCAGUUUCUUCUUUUACUAUGAAAAAAAGCAAAAUACUGCCACCUAAUAGCCCCAUUCCAAGUAAUUUGCAGCACAUAUACAAAUAACUGAGAGAUUGAGGUGCCUGUAUUGAUAAUUCAAGAUUCUCAGAAAAGAUUCUGAGAAAAUGUUUUAUCUCUUAUGUGGUCCAGACUGACUGUCUCCAUUAAAUACAUUCAUUGGAUAAUUGCUUAGCUUUCUACUUUCCUUUUCUGGUGAAGUCACAUACAACAUGUCCAAAAUGGCUAGGAGAAAUCAUGGGAUUUAUGCAUACAAAUACAGCAUUGCUUUUCAAAAAGGACAGAAUAUGUUCAAGAACUAUUUAUAUUCUGGCCAGGCUUUGGAUUUGUAUAUAUUAUAUGCACAGAAAAUAAUUCAUUAUGAGCUAUAUCAUACUGUUUGCCAAACAAAAUGACCUUUGGAUACUGAUGUCAUGCCUUUUUAUACUAGCAGGAGUUAAAGAUGACAAGAGGACCAGAAACUGAUUCCAAGAAUGCAUGGAAUGGUUUCCAUGGAACAUAAUGGCACAAUUGUAUGGAACAAAAUUGAAAAGAACUAGAGAACCGGAAAAGGGUGUGGUGUCUGUAAAAAUGAAAAACUUUAUUCAUGGAUUCAAAUUUAUGCUUAAAAGGAAUUGGAUGCAAUGUAUCAUUCUCAGUUCUCAGGCAGCAGUUAGAAACUAGCUAAAGAGUGAUGGAACUUUCAGAGUAAUCUGGCAAAUUCUCCUGAAAUUUUUUUUUUCUCCAUCUCAAGUAUUCUUAUCACCCGUUGUUUCAUCUGCAGAGGAUGAAAGAAUAUCCUACCUCUUUAAUUUUUAAUUUUAUUUUGACUAAUGCUUUGAAAAAGUCUCCUUCCAAUCUCCUUUUUAGGACUUUACCGUGCCAAUCCUUCAUUGCCUUGUAAACCUGUCAUUUCCCUCACAAAUUUGGAAGGUCUUGUUGGCGGGGUCCAUUUUCUUGAAGAAUGUAAUAUUACUAAUAAGACAGGGACAAAUUCUUGUCCAAAUGAGAGUCCAAAACAUGUGCUUUGCCUUCCCAUCUGAUUGGUCACAUUUUCAUUCUGUUCUACAAUCAAAUUAAACCUUCUGUUGAUUUUUAUAGAGCUUUGUGAACACUGGAAACCACAAAGAUCUUUAAGAUGACCAUAGGCAUGUAAAUACUGGUCACUCAAAGGAUCCUGAAAGGUACAAUUUCCUGACCUUAGUGCAUUCCAAGUCUGUUUCUUAUGUUAAGUUCAAAUAAAGAUGGCUUUCCUUUGGAGACAGGAUCCUGCUAAAUUGCCCAGGAUGGCCUUGAAUUUGUGAUCCUCCUGCUUUAGCCUCCUGAGUU